CUAUCAGAGACUAAAGACCCUCUCAGGGUACAACCUCAUCUCAAGAAAUGCUUUGAAGGUAUCGCUCAGCUGACCUUCACUCCGGAGAAAGAGAUCGUCGCUAUGGAAUCGGCUGAGAAUGAGAGUGUAGAGCUUUGUUCUCGUAUCAUCCCAGCAGAUGCUCAUGGUCUGGUGGAGAUGUGGCUCAUACAGG
Molecule: non-coding RNA, 193 nt
Organism: Strongylocentrotus purpuratus (purple sea urchin)
Lineage: Eukaryota; Metazoa; Echinodermata; Echinoidea; Camarodonta; Strongylocentrotidae
Source: Rfam